This 111-nucleotide ribosomal RNA is filed under the name Saimiri boliviensis boliviensis (Bolivian squirrel monkey). Lineage: Eukaryota; Metazoa; Chordata; Mammalia; Primates; Cebidae. The record is from RNAcentral.
UUUAAAAAUUUCUUGAAACACCCAAUCUCGUCAGAUCUCGGAAGCAAAGCAGGGUCGGGCCUGGUUAGUACUUGGAUGGGAGACCACCUGGGAAUACCGGGUGCCAUAGGC